UGCAAGUCGAGCGGACCGACGGGAGCUUGCUCCCUUAGGUCAGCGGCGGACGGGUGAGUAACACGUGGGUAACCUGCCUGUAAGACUGGGAUAACUCCGGGAAACCGGGGCUAAUACCGGAUGCUUGAUUGAACCGCAUGGUUCAAUCAUAAAAGGUGGCUUUUAGCUACCACUURCAGAUGGACCCGCGGCGCAUUAGCUAGUUGGUGAGGUAACGGCUCACCAAGGCGACGAUGCGUAGCCGACCUGAGAGGGUGAUCGGCCACACUGGGACUGAGACACGGCCCAGACUCCUACGGGAGGCAGCAGUAGGGAAUCUUCCGCAAUGGACGAAAGUCUGACGGAGCAACGCCGCGUGAGUGAUGAAGGUUUUCGGAUCGUAAAACUCUGUUGUUAGGGAAGAACAAGUACCGUUCGAAUAGGGCGGCACCUUGACGGUACCUAACCAGAAAGCCACGGCUAACUACGUGCCAGCAGCCGCGGUAAUACGUAGGUGGCAAGCGUUGUCCGGAAUUAUUGGGCGUAAAGCGCGCGCAGGCGGUUUCUUAAGUCUGAUGUGAAAGCCCCCGGCUCAACCGGGGAGGGUCAUUGGAAACUGGGGAACUUGAGUGCAGAAGAGGAGAGUGGAAUUCCACGUGUAGCGGUGAAAUGCGUAGAGAUGUGGAGGAACACCAGUGGCGAAGGCGACUCUCUGGUCUGUAACUGACGCUGAGGCGCGAAAGCGUGGGGAGCGAACAGGAUUAGAUACCCUGGUAGUCCACGCCGUAAACGAUGAGUGCUAAGUGUUAGAGGGUUUCCGCCCUUUAGUGCUGCAGCAAACGCAUUAAGCACUCCGCCUGGGGAGUACGGUCGCAAGACUGAAACUCAAAGGAAUUGACGGGGGCCCGCACAAGCGGUGGAGCAUGUGGUUUAAUUCGAAGCAACGCGAAGAACCUUACCAGGUCUUGACAUCCUCUGACAACCCUAGAGAUAGGGCUUCCCCUUCGGGGGCAAAAUGACAAGUGGGUGCAUGGUUGUCGUCAGCUCGUGUCCUGAGAAUGUUGGGUUAAGUCCCGCAACGAGCGCAACCCUUG
Molecule: ribosomal RNA, 1073 nt
Filed under: Bacillus sp. (in: firmicutes)
Lineage: Bacteria; Bacillati; Bacillota; Bacilli; Caryophanales; Bacillaceae
Description: bacterial SSU rRNA
Rfam family: Bacterial small subunit ribosomal RNA
Source: RNAcentral